GGAGAGAUGGUCGAGCGGUUUAUGGCUCCAGUCUUGAAAACUGGCAUAGUCUUAAUAUCUAUCGAGGGUUCGAAUCCCUCUCUCUCCU
This 88-nucleotide transfer RNA is filed under the name Crepidomanes minutum. Its description in RNAcentral is "tRNA-Ser". It matches the Rfam family "tRNA". From Rfam's summary of the family: Transfer RNA (tRNA) molecules are approximately 80 nucleotides in length. Lineage: Eukaryota; Viridiplantae; Streptophyta; Polypodiopsida; Hymenophyllales; Hymenophyllaceae. The record is from RNAcentral.